RNAcentral lists this unclassified non-coding RNA (602 nucleotides) under Hevea brasiliensis (rubber tree). Lineage: Eukaryota; Viridiplantae; Streptophyta; Magnoliopsida; Malpighiales; Euphorbiaceae. The record is from RNAcentral.
GCAAGCAUAAAUAGUUCACCACAACAUCUAUAAUACAACUAUUGCACAAGAAUUUCAGGAAGUCUAAAUGCCAUGAUACUACACAGGUUAUAUCUGAUGAAGCCAGAAUAAUAAACACAGUCCAGGCAGCAGUUAUAAAACUAUAGAGUGAUGUGAAUGCAAAAAUACCAACAUUAAGGUCUUGUUUAGUUCAAAUGGCCUAAUUCCUGAAAGUUCAAGUAACUUAAUUAGGUUAAGGUAAGUAAGUUACUUGUUGGAAAGCGAAAAAAAUGAGAGCCUUAACUUCCCAGGAAGUCCAAAAUUAUGGCCAACCAAACAAGUAAAAUUCUAGCACUUCCUGGGAACUUGAAGAUCCUGAACAAAGUUACUCCCAACUAAAAGACCAAAUACUUUAGAUAAAGGAGUCUAUCAUCAUCAAGGUGAGUGAAAGUGAAGUGUUUAGACACCUUGCAAGAUUAGAUCCAUAAAUAUCGCUACAAGGUAACUAACCUUCACCUCAUUUCGUAAACAAGUUGCACAUAUAGUCAUAUAAUGCCUAGCUACAGUAUUGACUAGUGUGAACACAUGUCAAGGAGCUAAUUUACAAGGUGAGAAAAUAUAUA